RNAcentral lists this ribosomal RNA (242 nucleotides) under uncultured Actinomycetales bacterium. RNAcentral describes it as "partial 16S ribosomal RNA". It matches the Rfam family "Bacterial small subunit ribosomal RNA", at positions 89 to 334 of the family's 1533-position model. The record is from RNAcentral. Lineage: Bacteria; Bacillati; Actinomycetota; Actinomycetes; Actinomycetales.
ACUCGAGUGGCGAACGGGUGAGUAACACGUGGGUGAUCUGCCCUGCACUUCGGGAUAAGCCUGGGAAACUGGGUCUAAUACCGGAUAGGAGCCAUUUUUAGUGUGAUGGUUGGAAAGUUUUUUCGGUGUAGGAUGAGCUCGCGGCCUAUCAGCUUGUUGGUGGGGUAAUGGCCUACCAAGGCGGCGACGGGUAGCCGGCCUGAGAGGGUGUACGGCCACAUUGGGACUGAGACACGGCCCAG